CCUACGGGUGGCUGCAGUAGGGAAUCUUCCGCAAUGGACGAAAGUCUGACGGAGCAACGCCGCGUGAGUGAUGAAGGCUUUCGGGUCGUAAAACUCUGUUGUUAGGGAAGAACAAGUGCUAGUUGAAUAAGCUGGCACCUUGACGGUACCUAACCAGAAAGCCACGGCUAACUACGUGCCAGCAGCCGCGGUAAUACGUAGGUGGCAAGCGUUAUCCGGAAUUAUUGGGCGUAAAGCGCGCGCAGGUGGUUUCUUAAGUCUGAUGUGAAAGCCCACGGCUCAACCGUGGAGGGUCAUUGGAAACUGGGAGACUUGAGUGCAGAAGAGGAAAGUGGAAUUCCAUGUGUAGCGGUGAAAUGCGUAGAGAUAUGGAGGAACACCAGUGGCGAAGGCGACUUUCUGGUCUGUAACUGACACUGAGGCGCGAAAGCGUGGGGAGCAAACAGGAUUAGAUACCCUAGUAGUC
This 466-nucleotide ribosomal RNA is filed under the name uncultured Bacillus sp. RNAcentral describes it as "bacterial SSU rRNA". It matches the Rfam family "Bacterial small subunit ribosomal RNA", at positions 338 to 795 of the family's 1533-position model. The record is from RNAcentral. Lineage: Bacteria; Bacillati; Bacillota; Bacilli; Caryophanales; Bacillaceae.